Long non-coding RNA from Sardina pilchardus (European sardine), 2052 nucleotides. RefSeq lists it as uncharacterized. NCBI's taxonomy places the organism in Eukaryota, Metazoa, Chordata, Actinopteri, Clupeiformes, Clupeidae. The record is from RefSeq and is a predicted model, not a curated record. The transcript has 2 exons.
GAGAAGGAAGUGCCCAGCACAUAUCAACAGAACUCAUCUGUUUUGCGACAAAGAUGCAUCAGUGUCGUGUUGACAGAAACCAAAGACAAGCAUUACGACGACAUUCGAAGAUCUAUACAGCAUGCCUUUUCACCUAAAGUAAGAAGCUGCAGUAUCUCCUGAUUCAAGGCCUUCAAGAACUGUUGGACCGCUUGAUCCAGAUGAAAGUCAGUCUUCCUAUGGGUGGAAAAUGUGCUGUCUGAACAACAUGACUGGACCAAAAUAUGUACAGUAUGCAGAGACAGAAAUACAGCCCUGCCCUUUACAGCGCACAGGUCACAGAAAUGCUUGACCUGCCGCUUGUUUCCAGCACUCCAAGAAGGUAGAGGCUCAGCAUCUCUGUGCAAAAUUAGUCCAUCUCCGUUUGCAUUUCAGCACUUAAGAUUGUUAGGGUGGGAUUGGAACACCCAGGCUAUAAGAUUGUUGCAUUUCAGAUAUAAAUCUCUAAAAUCUCUACCUGCCAUGCAUGUUUAGCUAAAAAAAAAGAAGCAAUAAACACUAUGGAUGAUAAGCUAUGUAUCUGGAGUAGGGGUUAUACUGUCAUCAUUCAUAUAUUUUAAAACAUGUGUACAGGUCUGUUAUUAAGGGACAGCAUUUGAACAGUACAGUAAGUGAUUAACUGCCAGUAACAAAUUACCCAAACAGAUACUGGGUCUCUGUUGAUGCCCUUUGGUCCUAAACACAGCAAAGUAAAAAAAAAAAAAUCUUGUUUAUGUUUUUAUGAGAAAGAAACAAACAUGUUUAUCACAUGUUCAAAGUUUUCCUUUUUUUGACUCCCUCAGAAUGAUACUGCACAUUUUCUACAGGAUGAUUAAUACAUCAUAUUUAACAUAUAUAUAUUUAUUAUUAUUAUGUGGUCAAUCAGGCUGAUAUUUUGAAAGGGUAGUGUACGAUUUAUGACAAUCAAUGCAUGCAUCGUUUGUUCUUGAAUAGUCCUACUUUUUGUGUUUCUUCUCUUCUUUGAUCUAGAUUUUCACAAGACAGCAAGUGUGCAGUUGUCCCACUUCUGAAUUGCUUCAAAUGUUUUUGUUGAGUUAUGCUUCUAGUCAAACGUUGAAUUCAUGAGCACCCAAAAGUGCCAUAUUUUGCUUUUUCAUCUGUUGCACACAAAUGUAUAACAGACAUUGCAGGAAUUAAGAGGAAGAUGCAUUUAUUUUAGAUGUUUUAUUAUGGUUAUUAUUUUAGACACCAUAUCUUCAUGAUCAUAGUAUGAUGAAGUCUGCUGUUCUAGGAGUGUGUGAUUGCCGUACUAGGUGAAGGAGCUGUACUUGUAAUGAUCUGUGCAAGUAUUUUGCUGGUAUGUACAAGACGGAAUUACCCGUCUGUGUAGCUGGUAUAUGUUUUACAGCUCCACACUAUGGAGGCACAAGAUUGACUUGAAAAUCGUCAUAGGUUUGGGAACACAUUCAUCCAUCAGACAAUGCAUUCUGUUUAAAAAAAUAAAAAUGAGGGAGAAUGCAGCACAGUUUGCGCCAUUUUGUACUUGUCAGUGACAUGAUCCUAACAUGAUCCAUCCCAUCUGUAUAAUAUCUCAGUGGUAGAAAUAUAUUCAUUCCCCCAUGCUAUUGGCCAAAUAUGGUUGCAAUGACCGCUAUUCUAAAAUAUUACAAAGAUAUCAGAAAAUGACAUAUGGACAGUGGUUCUGUUUUAUCAACAGAAAUGUAAUUUUUUUUGGAUUUUUUUACGUAAAAACGUAUUUCUCAAGUGUAAUUACAGUAGUUUCCUGCAACUGAUCAGUACAGGGAUGCUUCAUUAACAUGCCGCCACCAAGUAGUAUUGCUGUUACCACAAAUAAAUCCCAUUGAUCUGAGAAUAAGACUGACAGCAAACAGAUGUAACUGUUGUUUUUAUUAUAAAAAAGUGACAGAAGAGUGCAUUAAAAAAAGAGACCUUAAAAGGCUUAGUGCAGACAGAGCACGUCUGAGCCAGACGUCAGGUUUAAGCACUGUAGUGUGCAUGGGGGGGGGGGGGGGGGGGGUUAGCAGCGUGAAUGGGCGUCUUUCCUCUCAUCGU